AGAGUUUGAUCAUGGCUCAGAUUGAACGCUGGCGGCGUGCCUAACACAUGCAAGUCGAGCGGUAACAGGUGUAGCAAUACAUGCUGACGAGCGGCGAACGGGUGAGUAAUGCUUUGGAAUCUUCCCAGUAGUGGGGAAUAACCAGUCGAAAGAUUGGCUAAUACCGCAUACGUCUGUAAAGGGAAAGCGGGGGCUCGUAAGACCUCGCGCUAUUGGAUGAGCCAAAGUCGGAUUAGCUAGUUGGUGGGGUAAUGGCCUACCAAGGCGACAAUCCGUAGCUGGUCUGAGAGGACGACCAGCCACACCGGAACUGAGACACGGUCCGGACUCCUACGGGAGGCAGCAGUGGGGAAUAUUGGACAAUGGGGGAAACCCUGAUCCAGCGACGCCGCGUGUGUGAAGAAGGCCUGCGGGUUGUAAAGCACUUUUUAGUGGGGACAAAAAAGCUACGGACUAACACUCUGUGGUCUUGAUUUAACCCAAAGAAAAAAGCACCGGCUAACUCUGUGCCAGCAGCCGCGGUAAUACAGAGGGUGCGAGCGUUAAUCGGAAUUACUGGGCGUAAAGCGCGCGUAGACGGUUUUGUAAGUCAGAUGUGAAAUCCCUGGGCUCAACCUGGGAACUGCAUUUGAAACUGCAUGGCUAGAGUAUCGAAGAGGGAAGUGGAAUUUCCGGUGUAGCGGUGAAAUGCGUAGAUAUCGGAAGGAACACCAGUGGCGAAAGCGACUUCCUGGUCGAAUACUGACGUUCAUGUGCGAAAGCGUGGGGAGCAAACAGGAUUAGAUACCCUAGUAGUCC
This 798-nucleotide ribosomal RNA is filed under the name uncultured bacterium. RNAcentral describes it as "bacterial SSU rRNA". It matches the Rfam family "Bacterial small subunit ribosomal RNA", at positions 8 to 796 of the family's 1533-position model. The record is from RNAcentral.